GACGAACGCUGGCGGCGUGCUUAACACAUGCAAGUCGAACGGAAAGGCCCUGCUUUUGUGGGGUGCUCGAGUGGCGAACGGGUGAGUAACACGUGAGUAACCUGCCCUUGACUUUGGGAUAACUUCAGGAAACUGGGGCUAAUACCGGAUAGGAGCUCCUGCUGCAUGGUGGGGGUUGGAAAGUUUCGGCGGUUGGGGAUGGACUCGCGGCUUAUCAGCUUGUUGGUGGGGUAGUGGCUUACCAAGGCUUUGACGGGUAGCCGGCCUGGGAGGGUGACCGGCCACGUUGGGACUGGGAUACGGCCCAGACUCCUACGGGAGGCAGCAGUGGGGAAUAUUGCACAAUGGGCGGAAGCCUGAUGCAGCCACGCCGCGUGCCGGAUGUCGGCCUGCGGGUUGUAAUCCGCUUUCGCCUGUGACGAAGCGUGAGUGACGGUAAUGGGUGAAGAAGCACCGGCUAACUACGUG
RNAcentral lists this ribosomal RNA (468 nucleotides) under uncultured bacterium. Its description in RNAcentral is "partial 16S ribosomal RNA". It matches the Rfam family "Bacterial small subunit ribosomal RNA", at positions 28 to 507 of the family's 1533-position model. The record is from RNAcentral.